UGAUCCGGAGAUCUCCGAAUGGGGCAACCCAUCCCACUUGUGGGAUAUCUCUAUCUGAAUACAUAGGAUAGUGAGGCGAACCUGGGGAACUGAAACAUCUAAGUACCCAGAGGAAAAGAAAUCAACCGAGAUUCCGUGAGUAGUGGCGAACGAAAGCGGAACAGCCCUGUAACAUAAUGUUUGUAAUGUCUAAUAGAACAGAAUGGAAAGUCUGACCAUAGUGGGUGAUAGUCCCGUACAUGAAAGGCAUUAUAAGUUGGUUACGAUGAGUAGGUCGGGACACGUGUUAUCUUGACUGAAUAUGGGGGGACCAUCCUCCAAGGCUAAAUACUCUCUACUGACCGAUAGCGAACCAGUACCGUGAGGGAAAGGUGAAAAGNACCCCUGUUAGGGGAGUGAAAUAGNACCUGAAACCGUAUGCAUACAAGCAGUAGGAGCAUGUUUACAUGUGACUGCGUACCUUUUGUAUAAUGGGUCAGCGACUUACUUACAGUGGCAAGCUUAACCGUAUAGGGUAGGCGUAGAGAAACCGAGUCCGAAUAGGGCGUUNUAGUCGCUGUGAGUAGACCCGAAACCGGGCGAUCUAUCCAUGGCCAGGGUGAAGGUUGGGUAAAACCAACUGGAGGCCCGAACCCACUGAUGUUGCAAUAUCACGGGAUGAGCUGUGGAUAGGAGUGAAAGGCUAAUCAAGCUCGGAGAUAGCUGGUUCUCCUCGAAAUAUAUUUAGGUAUAGCCUCGUGUAUAACUCUUGGGGGUAGAGCACUGUUUCGGCUAGGGGGUUGUCAUGACUUACCAAACCGUUGCAAACUCCGAAUACCAAGAAGUUCAGCACGGGAGUCACACGGCGGGUGAUAAGGUCCGUCGUGGAAAGGGAAACAGCCCAGACCGCCAGCUAAGGUCCCNAANUNACAGUUAAGUGGUUAACGAUGUGAGAAGGCNCAAACAGCCAGGAGGUUGGCUUAGAAGCAGCCAUCCUUUAAAGAAAGCGUAAUAGCUCACUGGUCGAGUCGUCUUGCGCGGAAGAUUUAACGGGGCUAAACUAUGUACCGAAGCUGCGGGAUUGAUAUUUAUUAUCAAUCGGUAGAGGAGCGUUCUGUAAGUCUGUGAAGGUGUGCUGUCAGGCAUGCUGGAGAUAUCAGAAGUGAGAAUGCUGACAUAAGUAACGUUAAUACGGGUGAAAACCCCGUACGCCGAAAGUCCAAGGUUUCCUUGCGCAAUGUUAAUCAGCGCAGGGUUAGUCGGCCCCUAAGGCGAGGCAGAAAUGCGUAGUCGAUGGGAAACAGGUUAAUAUUCCUGUACUUUAUGUGGUUGCGAUGGGAUGACGGAGAAGGCUAGGUCAGCCAGGUGAUGGAUAUCCUGGUUUAAGCUUGUAGGUAGGACGUUCUGGUAAAUCCGUGCGUCUAUUACUGAGGAGUUAUGACGAUCUCUGAGGGCUUGCCCGAUGAGAGAAGUGAUUAAUGCCACGCUUCCUAGAAAAGUCUCUAAGCUUCAGAUCACAUAGAACCGUACCCCAAACCGACACUGGUGGACAAGUAGAGAAUACUAAGGCGUUGAGAGAACUUGGGUGAAGGAACUCGGCAAAAUGAUACCGUAACUUCGGGAGAAGGUAUGCCUCCGCUGGUGACAGACUUCGCGUCUAGAGCUGGUAGAGGUCGCAGAGAAUAGGUAGCUGAGACUGUUUAUCAAAAACAUAGCACUCUGCAAACACGUAAGUGGACGUAUAGGGUGUGACACCUGCCCGGUGCCGGAAGGUUAAUUGAUGUGGUUAGCUUAUGCGAAGCCAUUGAUCGAAGCCCCGGUGAACGGCGGCCGUAACAAUAACGGUCCUAAGGUAGCGAAAUUCCUUGUCGGGUAAGUUCCGACCUGCACGAAUGGUGUAACAAUGGCUACGCUGUCUCCACCCAAGACUCAGUGAACUUGAAUUCGCUGUGAAGAUGCAGUGUACGCGCGGCUAGACGAGAAGACCCCGUGCACCUUUACUACAGUUUUACACUGAAUUUUGGUGAUGCUUGUGCAGGAUAGGUGGGAGACUUUGAAGCAGGAACGCUAGUUUCUGUGGAGUCAUCCUUGAAAUACCACCCUGGCAUCACUGGAGUUCUAACCUAGGUCCGUAAUCCGGAUCGGAGACAGUGUAUGAUGGGUAGUUUGACUGGGGCGGUCUCCUCCUAAAGAGUAACGGAGGAGCACAAAGGUACCCUCAGCACGGUCGGAAAUCGUGCAAUGAGUGCAAAGAUACAAGGGUGCUUGACUGUGAGACUGACAAGUCGAGCAGGUAGGAAACUAGGUCUUAGUGAUCCGGUGGU
RNAcentral lists this ribosomal RNA (2303 nucleotides) under metagenome. RNAcentral describes it as "bacterial LSU rRNA". It matches the Rfam family "Bacterial large subunit ribosomal RNA", at positions 100 to 2427 of the family's 2925-position model. The record is from RNAcentral.